RNAcentral lists this ribosomal RNA (252 nucleotides) under uncultured bacterium. Its description in RNAcentral is "partial 16S ribosomal RNA". It matches the Rfam family "Bacterial small subunit ribosomal RNA", at positions 526 to 779 of the family's 1533-position model. The record is from RNAcentral.
CGUAGGGGCGAGCGUUGUCCGGAAUCACUGGGCGUAAAGGGUUCGCAGGCGGAUAAACAAGUCAAGAGUAAAAGGCAUGGGCUUAACCCAUGUAAGCUAUUGAAACUGUUUAUCUUGAGAUGUGGAGAGGUAAGUGGAAUUACUAGUGUAGCGGUGAAAUGCGUAGAUAUUAGUAGGAAUACCAGUAGCGAAGGCGACUUACUGGACACAAACUGACGCUGAGGAACGAAAGCGUGGGUAGCAAACAGGAUU